GAUGAACGCUGGCGGCGUGCCUAAUACAUGCAAGUCGAGCGAACGGACGAGAAGCUUGCUUCUCUGAUGUUAGCGGCGGACGGGUGAGUAACACGUGGAUAACCUACCUAUAAGACUGGGAUAACUUCGGGAAACCGGAGCUAAUACCGGAUGAUAUUUUGAACCGCAUGGUUCAAAAGUGAAAGACGGUCUUGCUGUCACUUAUAGAUGGAUCCGCGCUGCAUUAGCUAGUUGGUAAGGUAACGGCUUACCAAGGCAACGAUGCAUAGCCGACCUGAGAGGGUGAUCGGCCACACUGGAACUGAGACACGGUCCAGACUCCUACGGGAGGCAGCAGUAGGGAAUCUUCCGCAAUGGGCGAAAGCCUGACGGAGCAACGCCGCGUGAGUGAUGAAGGUCUUCGGAUCGUAAAACUCCGUUAUUAGGGAAGAACAUAUGUGUAAGUAACUGUGCACAUCUUGACGGUACCUAAUCAGAAAGCCACGGCUAACUACGUG
RNAcentral lists this ribosomal RNA (497 nucleotides) under uncultured bacterium. RNAcentral describes it as "partial 16S ribosomal RNA". It matches the Rfam family "Bacterial small subunit ribosomal RNA", at positions 28 to 507 of the family's 1533-position model. The record is from RNAcentral.